Molecule: non-coding RNA, 6964 nt
Organism: Rattus norvegicus (Norway rat)
Lineage: Eukaryota; Metazoa; Chordata; Mammalia; Rodentia; Muridae
Source: RefSeq, a predicted model, not a curated record
UUAUAGCAGAAGGGCAGGGUAACGAGUAAAUGAUCUUUUAGGCAGGAAACUGGGAAAGGAAAUAACAUUUUAAAUGAAAAUAUAGAAACAUCCAGUUAAAAAAAGCAAUAAAAUUUGCUAAAAAAUGAAAGAUAUAAAAUAAAAGUAAACUGCCAACUAAUUAUACCUGUUGACUUGGAAAUCUACAAUGAUAGUCAGAGUAAUACAAGUGGUAAGACUAAGAUGAUGAUAUCUGAAAUAGAGCACUUCUCUCUCCCAGAUAGAAGUAUCAGACAGAAACUGCACUAUAGGUAUCCAAAACAUUGAAGAGUUUACUCUGAGCUGCGGACAUAAUGCUUGUCCUUCCCAUCUUCCUAAGUAACUUUCUCUUUUUGAGAAAAAGUAUAAAGUCCAUGACCUGUCAGGGAUACAACUGUGCCAUUCACAACACUUGACUUUGGAAUAAAGGAAUGAAUGAUAUAAACUCUCUGACUUCCAGAAAGCAAAAGAAAAGGGAAGUCCAGAUGCUUCUGAGAGGCUCCCGGCUCCUAAUUCCCUUAUGUGGAAGGCGAAGUUAAAGGCUAUCUCUUCAGAGUUACCCCUCAACACCUAACAAGGACAUACUAAACUUUCCCAAGCACCACAUAAUUUUCCCUGUUUUUUUAUACCAAGACAGAAGGCCAGCUUCCUUCUCUCCAUUUCAUAUCCUUCAUCCUCUUUUUUCUCACUUCCAAAUUGUCUCUGAAUUAGGCCAAAUAGUAAACCUUAGAGGUAUUGAAGGAAAAUCUGAGAGGCAGUUGCAGUCAUGACAACAGAAGGAGCUAGGGGUCACCAGAUUAUAAGAGAGUUUUCAGGCAGGUUCUAAUGAUAAUGUCACUGAGCACUACCGUGAUCUACAUGCUGAACACUUCCUUACAUUGACCAGAUUCAAGAGUGCCUUUCCCAGGUAUGUCUCAGGAAACACAGUGGAAACCUGUAUGUACUACAUCACUCUAAAGUAGAGACUUCUUUCUGCUUCUCUAGUCGUUACAUGCUCUGAAUGUAGAAAGUUAUCCAGGGGCUUAGCAUGGGUAGAAACGAUUUAGGAACAUGGAGUGUAGGAAAUACUUCUAGAUAAUAUUUUUAUUCCCAGGUUCAUUCCUGUGACAUAAAGUUCAAUUUUCUGUGUUUUCUUUCUUUCCCAAAUGCCAGUAUUUUCUCUACAACCUUUAAUUGAAUGAAUAUUGUAUUUCAAUUUCUUACUGUAAAUUCCUUGAUAGGGGAUUUUGUAAAUGUUCCUCAUUGUGUAAUCAAAAAUUCUGUUUUCCAAUUAAAUUUUCUGCAAUGAUUUUGGUCACAAAGGGGGCCCAGCUAUAGAAUGAGUACAACACUGUAACUACUGUGUACCUAUUUCAAAUGAUGAAUUCCCAAAUCCUUUUUUUUUUUACCAAAAAAAUUACCAGACAUCAGGAAAGCAAAGUAUAACAUGGAUUUUUUAAUUCGGUUCUCUACUCCCAUUUGAUAUCAGUACUACCCUAUCUCUCUUCCAGUUUUCCCAUGGCCAGACUUGAGUGUUUAGGAAGUUUUACCAUGAUUCUUUCUUAAGGCCAAAUGUAAUCUACCAGAUGAUGGGCAGGGGAGAAGAAUGGCUUGAGGACCAGUUAAAUGUCUACUUGAAUAGGUUCAUAAAAACAGGAGGGAGUCUAUUUACAUUGUCAUCUGUGAAUUCUACAUUCUUGACAUAGUUGGGGAGAAUCCUUGUUAACAUUCCGCCUAACAACGUAAGUGUAGAAGCCUCCAAAAUUAUUUAUAUACAUCAGCCACCAAAACUAGAUAAGAUUGAUAAAGCUAAUAAGUGCAUUCUUCCAGGAACUCGAUAAAGAUAUUUACUGAGAGACACAGAUACAGCAUGUCAAAUACAGAAGUGAAUGCUAGUAGCAAACCAGUGAACUGAAAACAGACCUCUUGUAGGUAAAUAUUGAAAAAGGUUAGAAGAGCUGAAGGUGAUUUCAACCCCAUAAGAACAACAAUGCCGGGGCUGGGGAUUUAGCUCAGUGGUAGAGCGCUUACCUAGGAAGCGCAAAGCCCUGGGUUCGGUCCCCAGCUCAAAAAAAAAAAAAAAAAAAAAAAAAAAAAAAAAAAAAAAACAACAACAAUGCCAAUAAACCAGAGCCUUCGGAUACCAGACCAAUAAACAAAGAACGUACAUGGACUGAUCUAUGGCUCCAAAUUCAUAUGUGGCAGAGGAUGGCCUUUUUGGGCAAAAAUGGUGAUGAUGCCCUUGGUCCUCCCUAAUUUGUCUCCCAGUUCAAGGGAAUGUCAAUGGACAGAAAGUCUGGUUAUAGAAGUAAGAAAAGGGAACAUGUAGGGAUCUUAAGGGAUUAAACUGGGAAAGGAAUUAAUAUUUUAAAUGUAAAUAUAGAAAACAUCCAGUUUUAAAAAAGCAAUAAAAUUCUCUAAAAAAUAUGAAUGACAUAAAAGAAAAGAAAGAUGCCAAGUAAUCACAUGUAUUUCCUAGGAAAUUGAAGUGGUAGUCUGAGUAAUACUAGUGGAAAGACUGAGAUGAUCAAGUCUCAACUAGAAGCACUUCUCUCUCCCAAAUAUCAGUGUCAGACACAAAGUGCUCUAUAGAUAUCCAAAGCAUGAGUUUACUUGGAGCUAAGCAUACAAUACUUGUUUUUCCCUUCUUCCUUAGGACCUUUUCUUCUUUACAAAGUAUAAAGGUCAUGACUUAUCAGGAAAACAAAUAUGCCCUUCAAACACUUGGCUUUUGGAGUAAAGAAAUGAAUGAUAUAAACCCACUGUCUUCCAGGAACCAUAAGAACAGAAAAGUCCAGAGUGUAGGAAGUUCUUAUAGACAAUAUUUUUAUUCACAGGUCAUUCCUGUAUACUCUAUCUAGUUUCCAGUGUUUGCAUGCCCAGACAUAAGGGUAGGAUGAUUUAUCAUCAUUCUUUCUUAAGUCCAAAAGUAAGAUACUGGACUAAGGACAGGGAGAAAAAUGUCUUGAGGACGAGUUAAACAUAUUCUUCAAUAGGUUAAUAAAAACAGGAGAGAGUCUAUUUGAAAUUGUCAUUUGUGAAUUUUACACCUUUGACAUAUUUGGCCAGAAUCCAUGAUAAUUUUCCACUUAAACAUUUAGGUGUAGGAGCCACCAAAAGUAUAUAUGUAUACAUCAGCCAACAAAACUAGGUAAGAUUGAUGAAGGUAAGAAGUGCUUUCUGCCAGGCACCAGAUAUAGAUAUUUACUGAGAGGCACAGAUACAGCAUGUCAAAUACAGAAGUGAAUGGUGGUAGUAAACCAGUGCACUGAAAACGGACAUAUGGUUGCUAAAUCUUGAAAAAGGAUUAGAAGAGCUGAGGGUGCUUUCAACACCAUAAGAACAACUAUGCCAAUGAUACAGAGCUUUAUUGUACUAGACAAAUAUAAAAAGAAAGUACAUGUACUGACCUAUGGCUCCAAAUGAAUAAGUUGCUGAGGAUGUCAUUUUUGGGCAACAUUGAAAAGAGAGGCACUUGUCCUUCCUAGUUUUUCUUCCAAUUCAAGGGAAUGUCACGAGCCAGAAAGGCUGUUUAGAGAAGAAGGAAGGGGUUGGGGAUUUAGCUCAAUGGUAGAGUGCUUGCCUAGGAAGCGCAAGGCCCUGGGUUCGGUCCCCAGCUCAGAAAAAAAAAAAAGGAAAUGGAAUGCGUAGGGAACAUAUGAUCAGGAAACUGGAAAUUGAAAUAGUAUUUUAAAUGUUUAUAUCUACUUAAAAAUCUAGUUAAAAGGAAUUAAUUUUGCUAAAAUAUAAAAAAAAUGAAUGAUAUAAAAGAAAAUAAAUGUGCAAAGUCAUAACAAUUAUUGGCUCAGAAAUUUAAAGUCAUAGUCAUAGUAAUACUAGUGGAAAGACUGAGAUGAUGAAGUCUCAACUAGAAGAAUAUUCUCUCCCAAGUAUCAGUGUCAGACACAAACUGCACUAUAGGUGUCCAAAGCACAGAGGAGAUGAUUAACUUAAGUUAGGGACAGAAUAUUUGUUUUUCCCUUCUCCUUAGGACCUUUUCUUCUCGACAAAAAGAGUAAAGGUCCUUAGCUCUCAUUAAAACAACUGUGCCUUUCACAACACUUGGUUUUUGGAAUAAAGAAAUGAACGAUAUAAUCCCUCAGGAACCAUAAGAACAGGAAAGUCCUGUUGUUUCUGAGAGUCUCCAAGCUCAUGAUUCCCUUAUUUAUAAGGCUCAGAUCAAGAUCUUUUCAGCGAUAUCACUCAAGCCCUACAAAGGACUCACUGAACUUUCCAAAGGACCACAUUUUUCUUCCUUAUUUUUUAUACCAAGACAGAAGGCCCGCUUCCUUCUCCCCAUUUCCAAACACUUCUUCCUCUUUGUUACCACACCACAAUUUGCUCUGAAUUAGAGAAUAUUAGUAAAACCUAUUGGUGAAGGAAUAACUGAGAGGCAGUUGCAGUCACGACAAUAGUUGUGACAUCACAGAAGCUAGGACGCUCAAGGUUACAAGAGAGUUUUCAGGGAGGUCCUAAUGAUUAUGGCACUGAGAACUGCUGUGGACUACCUGCUGAACACCUUUCCUUACAUUGACUAGAUUCGAAUUUUCACUUUCCAAGUAUGUCUCCCGUUACACAGUUGAAACCUAUACCUAACACAUCUCUCUAAAGCUAGAGACUUCUCUCUGCUUCACAAGUGGUUACAUGCUCUGAAUGGAGAAAAUUAGACAGGGUAGAAAAGAUUUAGGAACAUGGAGUGUAGGAGAUAAUUCUAGAUAAUAUUUUUUUGGUUCUUUUUUUCGGAGCUGGGGAUCGAACCCAGGGCCUUGCGCUUCCUAGGUAAGCGCUCUACCACUGAGCUAAAUCCUCAGCCCCUCUAGAUAAUAUUUUUAUUCCCAGUUUCAUUCCGUUGAUAUAAAGUUCAAUUUUCUGUGUUUUCUCUGUUUCCCAAAGGCCAGUAUUUUCCCUACAGACCUUUAAUUUAAUGAAUAUUGUAUUUCAAUUCCUUAUGGUUAAUUCCUUGAUAGGGGGUUUUGUAAAUUUUCCUCAAUGUGUACUCAAUAAUUCUGUUUUCUAAUUCCAUUUUCUGCAAUGAUUUUUGUCACAAAGUGGGCCCAGCUAUAUAGUGAGUAUAACAGCAUAAAUACUGUAAAACUACUUCAAAUGAUAAACUCACAAAUACUUAUUUUAACAAAAAAAUUACCAGACAUCAGGAAAUCAAAAACAACAUGGACUAUUGUAUUUGGUUAUCUAAUCCCAUUUGAUAUCAGUACUACACUAUCUAGCUUCCAGUUUUCCCAUAGCCAGAACUGAGGGUUUAGGAUGUUUUACCAAGAUUCUUUCUUAAAACCAAAUGUAAGAUACCAGAUAAUGGGCAGGAAGAAGAAUGGCUUGAGGACCAGUUAUACGUCUACUUCAAUAGGUUCAUAAAAACAGGACGGAAUCUAUUUGCAUUGUCAUUCCUUAAUUCUACAUUCUUCACAUAGUUCAGCAAAAUCCAUGUAAACAUUCCACUUGACAAAAUAGGUGUAAGAGCCACCAAAAUUAUAUUUGUACUCAUCAGCCAACCAAACUAGAUAAGAUUGAUGAAGGUAAGAAGUUCAUUCUGCAAGGAACCAGGUAUAAAUAUUUACUGAGAGAUACAGAUACAGCCUGUCAAAUACAAAAGUGAAUGCUGGGACAUACCAGUUAACUGAAAACAGACCUCUUGUUGGUAAAUUUUGAAAAAGGAUUCAAAGAGCUGAAGGUGCUUUCAACCCGAGAAGAAUAACAAUGCCAGUGACCAGCGCUUUCUUAUAAUAGACAGAUUUACAAAGAAAGUACAUGGACUAACCUAUGGCUCCAAAUGCCUAUGUGGCAGAAAAUGGCCUUUUUGGGCAACAUUGGAAAGAGAAGCUCUUGUAUUCCCUACUUUGUCUCCCAGUUCAAGGGAAUGCAUUGCGGCAGAAAGGCUGGUUUGAAAAGAAGGAAAUGGAACGGGUAGGAACCUUAUGGGCAGGAAACUGGGAAAGGAAAUAAUAUUUUAAAAGUAAAUAUAGAAACAUCCAGUUAUAAAACAAUAAAUUUUGGUAAAAAAUAAAAAAAGAAUGAUAUGAAAGAAAGAAAGCUGCCAAGUAAAAAGACAUCUUGACACAGAAAUCUGAAGUGUUAUUCAGAGUAAUACUAGUGGAAAGACUGAGAUGAUGAAGUCUCAACUACAAAUACUUCUCUACCCCAGAUAUCAGUGUGAGAGACAAACUGUACUAUAGGUAUCCAAAGUGUGGAGGAGUUUAUUCAGAACUAGGGAUACAAUACUUGUUUUUCCCUUCUUCCUUAGGACCUUUUCUUCUUGAAAAAAAGAGUAAGGGUCAUGAGUUCUCAGGAAAACAACUGUGCCCUUCACAACACUUGGCUUUUGGUAUAAAGAAAUUAAUGAUAUAAACUCUCUUAUUUCAAGGAACCAUAAGAACAGAGAAGUCCAGAUAAGAACAGAGACGUGCAAAUGCUUCUGAGAGUCUCCCAGCUCCUGAUUCCCUUAUGUGGAAGACUCAGAUCAAUGCUAUCUCUUCAGCGAUAUCACUCAAACCCUACAAAGGACUCACUGAACUUUCCAAAGGACCACAUAUUUCUUCCUUGUUUUUUAUACCAGGAAAGAAGAUCAGCUUUUUUCUCCCUAUUUCUAUUCUCUUCAUCGUCUUUGUUAUCACUCCCAAAUGUGCUCUGAAGUAGAGGCCUAUUAGUAAACCCUAGAAGUACUGAAAGAAUAUCUCAGAGGAAGUUGCAGUCACAACAACACUUGUGACAUCACAGAAGAAUCUAGUGCUCUCCAGGUUAGAAGAGAGUUUUCAGGGAAUGCCUAACAAUGAUGUCACUGAAAACUGUCAUGGCCUACCUGAUGAACACCUUUCCUUACAUUGACCAGAUUCAAGUUUGCACUUUAUAGGACCUUUUCUUCUUGCGAAAAAGUGUAAAGGUCAUGAGUUCUCAGGAAAACAACUGUGCCCUUCACAACACUUGGCUUUUGGAAUAAAGAAAUAAAUGAUAUAAA